Long non-coding RNA from Perognathus longimembris pacificus (Pacific pocket mouse), 275 nucleotides. RefSeq lists it as uncharacterized. NCBI's taxonomy places the organism in Eukaryota, Metazoa, Chordata, Mammalia, Rodentia, Heteromyidae. The record is from RefSeq and is a predicted model, not a curated record. The transcript has 3 exons.
AGAAUACGUAAUACAUACUUAUAUGUUUAUAAAAACAAACAUACAUAAGCACACAUUCUGUAGUUUGGUUUUCGUAACAAUGAAAACAGACAGGAAUGGAUAACUAGGGAAUCUGAUAUCAAAGAAUGCCGAGUUACUUGAUGACAGUAAUAAAUAAAUAAAGGACUCAAGGUCAGAAAGGUAAGCCAUAUGGAUCCACUUCCAGUAAUGAGAAGAAAUGUAAGCAGAGAAAGAACCACUGAUUAGCUGGCACCGUUAAGACAUAAUGUUAGUAA